AUGUUCCCACAGCCGAAUGCCUUUGGACCACUGCGGCCUCCUCAGCCUCCGCCAUGGCAGUGGCAGUGGCAGCAGCAGCAGCAGCACCACCACCACCACCCGCACCAGCAGCUCCCUUUCCAGCCUGAGGCGGCGGCACUGGCGGCGGCCAGUUCCUUUUGGCAGCGUGACAAUGUGCGGGAGCAUUUGAAGAAGCUGCAAGAGACCGUCGCGAUUUCAAGCGCUCUGAUAAACGAGCUAGAGGAGAUUGCACUUGUGAGGAAUUCAUCGGAUGCUAGUGCACAAGAACCAGAUUCGUCUGCAGUAGCAUCGUCUUCAGGGUCUGGCGUCUCUUCUCCAGGCAGGCCUUGCCAUUUUUCAGAGCUUGCAAGUGAAAUCAAGAUUAGCCAAGACACUCAUGAAUCUCUGGCGACAGAUGCGGCCAAUUAUCUCUGUUCUCAACUUCAGCACCUCCUGGCACCUAUUUCUUCCGCUAUUAACCAAGACGGUCCCUGGGCAGAAAAAUCGGCAAUGGUUUCGUUAGCUCAGAAGCUGCAGAAGUCCAAGAGAAAUAAGCGAUGGAGGAAGAGGAAGAGAAAGCAUGUAGCAGAGCUUUUCCAGAAGGAAAGUGCAGAAUUUGACAGAGUUGAUCAGGAAGCUGAUGAAUGGAGGGCUAGGCAAAUAGCUAAUGACAUUGCAAAACGCAAGGUGGAAAGCAUGAAGCAGAUUGCCAAGAAGAAAGCAAAUGAGGAAAGAAAACGUCUAGAAUCUGAGCUCGAGCUUGCACUAAUGGUCGAGAAACUACAGGAGCUCCGCUCUGUAAGGGUUGAAAAACUGAAGAAACAAGGUCAUUUUCUGCCAGAAGAGGAUGAUAAAUAUCUUGAGCGUGUCAAGGCUGCAGUUGAGGAAGAGGAGCGCCAAGCUGCAACUGCUGCCCGAACUGAUGCUGCGAAGGAUGCUAUUCUCACCGCUGAGGAAUCAAGGAAGGCUGCCCAUAAUACAACUGCUCAAGAAGAUGGCCUUGGACAACCUAAAAGUGGGUCGGCGCCAGAGCAGAACCAAGGAGAUGCAAGCAUAAGUGAGAGAAGUGAUCAUGCAAGUCAAAAGACAGAACAUGAUGAUCAAAAGGUCGAGAUAAAAGGUCCUGUGCAUUCCGAAUCUCUGACCAAUCUGCCUUUUGAGUUCUACCACUAUUAUCAUGGAAGUAGCUAUGACCUGGGGACACUCAUUGAGGUACGCAGAAUGUGGGAUUCUUUUAUCAGACCUGGAGGAAGCCGUAUACCUGGCCACUGGGUUCAGCCACCCCCUCCAGCUAAUGAUGUAUGGGCAUCAUAUUUGGUGCAGCCCAAGUAA
This 1332-nucleotide ribosomal RNA is filed under the name Triticum aestivum (bread wheat). RNAcentral's name for it is "partial small subunit ribosomal RNA". Lineage: Eukaryota; Viridiplantae; Streptophyta; Magnoliopsida; Poales; Poaceae. The record is from RNAcentral.